Molecule: non-coding RNA, 342 nt
Organism: Schizosaccharomyces pombe (fission yeast)
Lineage: Eukaryota; Fungi; Ascomycota; Schizosaccharomycetes; Schizosaccharomycetales; Schizosaccharomycetaceae
Source: the annotation of a GenBank genome assembly
UACUAAAAUUUACCUUCUUCUUACGAAUCGAACUACUAGGUGAGCUGCUCAGUCCUACAGCUUGUGAUGAUGGGGUUGAAGGUUCUUGUAGAAGCAUAUUUGAAGCCUCCUUCACAGCAAUUUCUUUUGUCAUCGCAACAUCAGCUGUUAUGCUUUUAAAAAUGUUUUAGCUUCAUGGGACCGAUCGCACCAAAAAAUUGCACAAAUAAGUUUAUUUACAAAAUGGUGGUAGUAGGCUAAAUGUGAGUUGAGUUAUAGAUGUAAACACUGUUCAGCACGGUACCAAGCUAUUGAGAUCUUUAACAACACUGAAAAAAGCUAAUUUAUUCUUUCAAUUAUGAA